AAUAACCUCAUUUUUCGUUUUUCCGUGUCUUUGACCAUUUGUCUUAUUUGAAUUUUUUUGUAAUUAAUAUUUUUAUUGUUACUAGAUGAUAAAAUAUGAAUAGUAUUUUAUACGUGACUAAUUUUUUUAAAUUUUUGUACAAAAUUUUCAAAUAAGACGAAUGCUCAAAGAUUGGAUACGGAAAAAC
RNAcentral lists this microRNA precursor (187 nucleotides) under Oryza brachyantha (malo sina). RNAcentral's name for it is "MIR812 microRNA precursor family". It matches the Rfam family "MIR812 microRNA precursor family". The record is from Rfam by way of RNAcentral. Lineage: Eukaryota; Viridiplantae; Streptophyta; Magnoliopsida; Poales; Poaceae.